GAUGAACGCUGGCGGCAGGCUUAAUACAUGCAAGUUGAACGGUAACAUGUUGUAGCAAUACGAUGAUGACGAGUGGCGCACGGGUGCGUAACACGUGUGUAACCUACCUUAUACAGGAACAUAACGUUGAGAAAUCGGCGCUAAUAUUCCAUAAUAUUAUUUAUAGGCAUCUAUAGAUAAUUAAAACCCCGGUGGUAUAAGAUGGGCACGCGUUCCAUUAGCUAGUUGGUAAGGUAACGGCUUACCAAGGCCACGAUGGAUAGGGGUUCUGAGAGGAUACACCCCCACACUGGAACUGAGACACGGUCCAGACUCCUACGGGAGGCAGCAGUAAGGAAUAUUGGGCAAUGGAGGCAACUCUGACCCAGCCAUGCCGCGUGCAGGAAGACGGCCCUACGGGUUGUAAACUGCUUUUAAUAGGGAGUAAAUCAGCUACGUGUAGUUGAUUGCAAGUACCUAUAGAAUAAGCAUCGGCUAACUCCGUGCCAGCAGCCGCGGUAA
This 501-nucleotide ribosomal RNA is filed under the name uncultured bacterium. Its description in RNAcentral is "bacterial SSU rRNA". It matches the Rfam family "Bacterial small subunit ribosomal RNA", at positions 28 to 523 of the family's 1533-position model. The record is from RNAcentral.